This 1556-nucleotide ribosomal RNA is filed under the name human gut metagenome. Its description in RNAcentral is "bacterial LSU rRNA". It matches the Rfam family "Bacterial large subunit ribosomal RNA", at positions 1386 to 2925 of the family's 2925-position model. The record is from RNAcentral.
GGGACCUAAGCCGAGGCGAGAAGCGUAGGCGAUGGACAACAGGUUGAAAUUCCUGUACCGGAUCAAGUCGAUCGAGCGAAGGAGCGACGCAGGAGGGCACAUGAUCGCGCGGGUGGAAGAGCGCGUCCAAGUGCGUAUGUUGCUGCAGAGGAAAACCCCUGCAGCUAAAAGCAGAGACAUGAUGGGGAGUUAAAGGGAACUUUGACGAACUCAUGAAUCCCACACUGCCAAGAAAAACUUCUAGCGAGACAAGAUCCGCCCGUACCGUAAACCGACACAGGUAGGCGGGGAGAGAAUCCUAAGGUGCGCGGGAAAACCCUCGUUAAGGAACUCGGCAAAUUGCAUCCGUAACCUAGGGAGAAGGAUGGCCCCCGGUCAGUGAAGAGCAGAAACGCUCAGAGCUAAAAGGGGCGGCAGAAAAGAGGCCCAAGCAACUGUUUACCAAAAACACAGGUGCCUGCGAAAGCGAAAGCUGAAGUAUAGGUGCUGACGCCUGCCCGGUGCCGGAAGGUUAAGGAGAGAAGUUAGCGAAAGCGAAGCAUCGAACUGAAGCCCCGGUGAACGGCGGCCGUAACUAUAACGGUCCUAAGGUAGCGAAAUUCCUUGUCGGGUAAGUUCCGACCCGCAUGAAAGGCGUAAUGAUUUGGGCACUGUCUCAACGAGGGGCCCGGUGAAAUUGAAAUACCUGUGAAGAUGCAGGUUACCCGCGACUGGACAGAAAGACCCCAUGGAGCUUCACUGCAGCUUGAGAUUGAAUCCCGGUGACAGAUGCACAGGAUAGGUGGGAGGCGCCGAAGCAUUGCCCUAGGGCGGUGCGGAGCCGAUGUUGGGAUACCACCCUUCUGUUGCUGAGAUUCUAACGCGAGGAGUAACGACCCUGCGGACCCUCUCAGGCAGGCGGUUUGACUGGGGCGGUCGCCUCCGAAAGAGUAACGGAGGCGCCCAAAGGUUCCCUCAGGCCGGACAGAAACCGGCCGAAGAGUGCAAAGGCAGAAGGGAGCUUGACUGCGAGACCCACAAGUCGAGCAGAGACGAAAGUCGGGCUUAGUGAUCCGGUGGUACUGGGUGGAAAGGCCAUCGCUCAACGGAUAAAAGCUACCCUGGGGAUAACAGGCUAAUCUCUCCCAAGAGUUCAUAUCGACGGGGAGGUUUGGCACCUCGAUGUCGGCUCAUCACAUCCUGGGGCUGAAGUAGGUCCCAAGGGUUGGGCUGUUCGCCCAUUAAAGUGGUACGCGAGCUGGGUUCAAAACGUCGUGAGACAGUUUGGUUCAUAUCCAUCGCGGGCGCAAGAAGUUUGAGAGGAGCUGCUCCUAGUACGAGAGGACCGGAGUGGACGGAUCAACGGUGUCCCAGUUGUCACGCCAGUGGCACGGCUGGAAAGCCGCAUCCGGGAAGGAUAAACGCUGAAAGCAUCUAAGCGCGAAGCCAACCUCAAGAUGAGACUUCUCAUCAGCAAUGAGUAAGACCCCUUACAGACGAUGAGGUAGAUAGGUUAUGAGUGGAAGAGCCGCAAGGCUUGGAGCGACAUAAAACUAAUAGGUCGAGGUCUUAACUUA